This 460-nucleotide ribosomal RNA is filed under the name uncultured bacterium. RNAcentral's name for it is "partial 16S ribosomal RNA". It matches the Rfam family "Bacterial small subunit ribosomal RNA", at positions 338 to 795 of the family's 1533-position model. The record is from RNAcentral.
CCUACGGGCGGCAGCAGUGAGGAAUAUUGGUCAAUGGGCUUACGCCUGAACCAGCCAAGUCGCGUGAGGGAAGACUGCCCUAUGGGUUGUAAACCUCUUUUGUCAGGGAGCAAUUGGCGCUACGUGUAGCGUUAUCGAGAGUACCUGAAGAAAAAGCAUCGGCUAACUCCGUGCCAGCAGCCGCGGUAAUACGGAGGAUGCGAGCGUUAUCCGGAUUUAUUGGGUUUAAAGGGUGCGUAGGCGGAAUGCCAAGUCAGCGGUAAAAUCGCGGGGCUCAACCUCGCUCCGCCGUUGAAACUGGCGGUCUUGAGUGGGCGAGAAGUAUGCGGAAUGCGUGGUGUAGCGGUGAAAUGCAUAGAUAUCACGCAGAACUCCGAUUGCGAAGGCAGCAUACCGGCGCCCAACUGACGCUGAAGCACGAAAGCGUGGGUAUCGAACAGGAGUAGAUACCCGGGUAGUC